GGGCGUAAGAGCUCGUAGGUCGUUUGUCGCGUCGAUUGUGAAAAUCUGAGGCUCAACCUCAGACCUGCAGUCGAUACGGGCAAACUAGAGUGUGGUAGGGGAGACUGGAAUUCCUGGUGUAGCGGUGGAAUGCGCAGAUAUCAGGAGGAACACCAAUGGCGAAGGCAGGUCUCUGGGCCAUAACUGACACUGAGGAGCGAAAGUGCGGGGAGCGAACAGGAUUAGAUACCCUGGUAGUCCGCACCGUAAACGGUGGGCACUAGUUGUGGGAACCUUCCACGGUUUCCGCGACGCAGCUAACGCAUUAAGUGCCCCGCCUGGGGAGUACGAUCGCAAGAUUAAAACUCAAAGGAAUUGACGGGGCCCCGCACAAGCAGCGGAGCAUGCGGCUUAAUUCGACGCAACGCGAAGAACCUUACCAAGGCUUGACAUAUAGCGAAAAGUGGCAGAGAUGUCAUGUCCGCAAGGGCGCUAUACAGGUGGUGCAUGGUUGUCGUCAGCUCGUGUCGUGAGAUGUUGGGUUAAGUCCCGCAACGAGCGCAACCCUCGUUCUGUGUUACCAGCAUUCAGUUGGGGACUCACAGGAGACUGCCGGGGUCAACUCGGAGGAAGGUAAU
RNAcentral lists this ribosomal RNA (617 nucleotides) under uncultured Actinomycetes bacterium. RNAcentral's name for it is "bacterial SSU rRNA". It matches the Rfam family "Bacterial small subunit ribosomal RNA", at positions 556 to 1177 of the family's 1533-position model. The record is from RNAcentral. Lineage: Bacteria; Bacillati; Actinomycetota; Actinomycetes.